Molecule: long non-coding RNA, 1684 nt
Organism: Poecilia latipinna (sailfin molly)
Lineage: Eukaryota; Metazoa; Chordata; Actinopteri; Cyprinodontiformes; Poeciliidae
Exons: 4
Source: RefSeq, a predicted model, not a curated record
CUGGUACUGACAUUUCUCUGGUUCAGAACAAAGAAAACCUCUGAAUCCAACAUGAAAUUCACACAACACGCAAAGAGAGAGAGAGAGAGAGAGAGAGAGAGAGAGAGAGAGAGAGAAACUCUCUCUUUGAUCCGUUCCAAGCAGACGAUCUUUUAUCAUGAGAUUAAAUAACCUUGAAGUGAUAUAAAUUAAAACUGUAGAACUGAAAUUGUUUCCCACCCUCCUUUUGAGUCUGCGCGAUCUGGUGCGUCUUCUAUCAGGAUCCACGGAGACGGAUUGUGAGUUUACGCUGUGCCAAGGCUGCGUUUUGCUCCCACCAUCUCCGCCCAAUUACAACAGCAGGGCUGCGCAGAGCCCCCCCGCUGAUUGGACGCUCUGCUGAAAGAGAAGUUUGUGUGUUUAUAUGGUCGGUGCUCGGAGUUCCUGCUUUCAGGGCUUCAGAGAGAAAAUGGAAGGCAUUGGACAUGGACACACGGAGGUUUGAGUCUGGAGGAGACAGCCAGGUGCUGCUCCGCCAGAGCCAGAGAGAUCCUUCACAGCGUGAGGUCCCCAUGCCCACAAUCCCCCGCUGCGCGUGCUUGAAUCAGGAGUAGAGGCAGUCGAGGGAAGACAGAGACACCAGGACGGACAAACCGCGGUAGUGCAGAGUGCAGAGCAAAUGAAAAGCGAAGGAGAUGGAGGAGAAACGAUCAAAGCGCAGUCAUCUCCAAGGUCCUCGUUUACGAAGACUGGGAAAUAUGAGACUGAUGUGACCAAUGAAGCGCCGCUUCAGCGACGGAUGUUUUUUAAAAGUUUAGCCAUUGCUGUCAGUGAGCCUGGAUGUCACGUUUUUAGCCAUCUUACAGCGAGAUUCACAGAGCCUUCUUUGCAUCUUUUGUCUGUUAUAGAAAGUUUAUCGUCCGUUUAUCGGAAAGGACGGAAAACAACAAAUGGUUUCAAUUUAAAAAAGAUCUCAGUACUUUGAAUCCUAUAUCCUGUUUUGAAAAACAUUUAGGUGCAAUUACAGCUCCAAGUGUUUUGACGUUUAUCUACGAGCUUUCAGCAUCUGCAGACUAAAAUUUUGUCCCUUUCUUUUCUUGGAGAACAGCUCAGUGAGAUUUGAUACAGAGAUUUUUUUUUUUUUGGACAUCUUCACGUUUUACCACAACUGAAUUUUGAGCUCGAAUAUUCUAACCAAUAUGUUUCCAGUAUUUCACUAAUUUGGCUCUGAUAACCUUGACCAGCAUCCCAGUUCCUUAGUAAAGCCUUCCCACAGCAUGACACCGCACACACUCUGUUCAAGUACAAUUAUCACUGAUUAGAUUACUGUCACUUUAACAGAUUUUCCUACUUGAGCUUUGAAUCUCUCCUGCUCCUCCAGAGUUACCCUGGGCUUCAUUCUGUCUUGGUUACCGUUUGUUUCUGUUUUCAGAUUAUGGUUUAAAGCGUGCUCCGUUUGUUUUUUUCAAACUCUAGGACGCAGAUCCGUCACAUAAACGCACUCUAAGCUUCUCCCCAGCUUUAUUGGAGACAAAUCUGGGGGUUUUCUUGGCGUUGUUUACGAGCUAACGUUCACAAAGGAACCAUUAAAGCUCACUUUACAUGCUUAAACUGACAUGCACCUUUCAAGAAUGCAGUGCAGAGUUCACUUGUAAGGUUUGAGAUAAUUUUUUAUUAGCAAUCCUGACAAAAGUCUAGAAGAUGA